CAUCAUAAGCUCCAUCACUGGGCCAUUUUUCACCAAUCUGUGGAUUAGUAGUUUCCUCGACACUGUAGUUUUCAUCAUUGCUAGUGUUGACUUGCGGAUCUACACCAUGCCUUGGAGGUGAAGUAACAUGUCGAGGUGUCUAUACUAAAAUCCUUGGUUGUUGGUUGGUUCCCUUGAGAUUGUAUCUUCCAUCAUACCUAGAAUGGACUUGUGGAUUAACUGAGUAUGUUGUUGAUGAAGGAAUACCUUGCGGAUCUUCACAGUGCCUUGGGGGUGAAGAAACAUGCCGAGGUGUCUCUACUAAAAUCCUUGGUUGUUGAUUGGGUCCCUUGAGAUUGUAUCUUUCAUCAUACCUAGGAUGGACUUGUGGAUUAAC
RNAcentral lists this long non-coding RNA (376 nucleotides) under Medicago truncatula (barrel medic). RNAcentral's name for it is "long non-coding RNA (MTRU_LNC001534)". The record is from RNAcentral. Lineage: Eukaryota; Viridiplantae; Streptophyta; Magnoliopsida; Fabales; Fabaceae.